UAAUAAGUGUUUUAUGGCACUUUUUUAAAUCCAUAUCCACCUUGUGUGCAAUGUCAGUCGAUCUUCUUCAUGGAGAUCGACCAAACAUCAACCUUUAUCUUUUAACUCUUUGUCUGAAAAAUAUUAUGAAUAAACAAUUCAAAAAUA
This 147-nucleotide unclassified non-coding RNA is filed under the name soil metagenome. Its description in RNAcentral is "partial internal transcribed spacer 1". The record is from RNAcentral.